UUGAUCAUGGCUCAGAACGAACGCUGGCGGCAUGCCUAACACAUCCAUAUCGAACGAGACCUUCGGGACUAGUGGCGCACGGGUGCGCAUCACGUGUGAAUCUGCCCCUUGGUUCGGAAUAACACUUACAAAUGACUGAUAAUACCGGAUGAUGACUUCGGCUCCAAAGAUUUAUCGCCGAGGGAUGAGCCCGCGUAUGAUUAGGUAGUUGGAGGGGUAAAGGCCUACCAAACCUACUAUCCUUACCUGGUCUGAAAGGAUGAUCAACCUCACUGGGACUGACACACGGCCGACACUCCUACAGGAGGCAGAAUCGGGGAAUAUUGGACAAUGGGCGAAAGCCUGAUCCGGCAAUGCCGCGGGAGUGAUGAAGGCCUUAGGGUCAUAAAGCUCUUUUACCAUGGAUGAUGAUGACAGUACCUGGAAAAUAACCUCCGGCUAACUCCUUGCCAGCACCCGCUGAAAUACCGACGGAGCUAGCGUUGUUCGGAAUUACUGGGCGUAAAAAGUACCUAGGCGGUUAUUCAAGUCAUAGGUGAAAGCCCGGCGCUCAACCCCGGAACUGCCUUUGAAACUAGAUAGCUACACUCUUGUAGAGGUUACUGUAAUUCCGAGUGAAUAGGUGAAAUUCGAAGAUAUUCGAAAUAACACCGUUGGCGAAAGCUACUAACUGGACAAGUACUGACGCUGAUGUACGAAAGCGUGAGGAGCAUACACGAGUAGAUACCCUGGUAGUCCACGCCGUACACGAUGAUAACUAGAUGCUCGGACACUUGCUGACUGAGUGACACAGCUAACGCAUUACCUUAUCCGCCUGGUGACUACGGUCACGAGAUUAGUACUCCAACUGAUUGACAGGCGCCUGCACAAGCGGCGCAGCAUG
RNAcentral lists this ribosomal RNA (883 nucleotides) under uncultured bacterium. RNAcentral describes it as "bacterial SSU rRNA". It matches the Rfam family "Bacterial small subunit ribosomal RNA", at positions 13 to 941 of the family's 1533-position model. The record is from RNAcentral.